GGCUUUAUUGUAAGACCAACAAGAAGCUAAAGAAAUCUUUUUUUCUUUUUUUUAAAAAUUAAAUUAAAUUUAAUUUAAUUUUUAUACAGCAGGUUCUUAUUAGGUAUCUAUUUUAUACAUAUUAGUGUAUAUAUGUCAAUCCCAAUCUCCCAGUUCAUCCCACCCACCCACCCCCAGCUUUCCCCCCUGAUGUCCAUACGUUUGUUCUCUACAUCUGUGUCUCUAUUUCUGCCUUGCAAACCGGUUCCUCUGUACCAUUUUUGUAGAUUCCACAUACAUGCGUUAAUAUACGAUAUUUGUCUUUCUCUUUCUGACUGCACUCUGUAUGACAGUCUCCAGGUCCAUCCACGAGAACUGUUAAAUCAAGGGAGUUACGUGAUGAGACUGAGUUUCCAAAGCAUCAUCGGUUGUACGCGGAGAGGGGAUGAGUGAGGUGGAAAUUUGCAUGGAGCUAUAACCCUAAGCAUGGAGCUUUGGGGAAUGUCACAUUUCCAAAAAUGUGGCCGAGGAAGGACUUCACACAGCAGCCGAGUGGCAGGAAGCAACCAGAUGAGGAGGCAGCUUUACGUCUUGGCCAGAAGUAACCCAAGGGCACGGUCAACAACAUUGGGAGUGCCCAGGAGUCUCAUUUCAGAGAUGAUUUAUCCUGAUUUAUUUUCAAAUGAUGUUUCUCAAUGGAAUUCUACUCAGCCAUAAAACAAACUGAAACAAAAUGAAACUGAAAUAACACCAUUUGCAGCAACAUGGAUGGACCUAGAGAUUAUCAUGCUAA
Balaenoptera ricei (Rice's whale) is the source of this 772-nucleotide long non-coding RNA. RefSeq lists it as uncharacterized. The record is from RefSeq and is a predicted model, not a curated record. The transcript is spliced from 3 exons. Lineage: Eukaryota; Metazoa; Chordata; Mammalia; Artiodactyla; Balaenopteridae.